This is a non-coding RNA of Cinara cedri, 291 nucleotides long. The record is from the annotation of a GenBank genome assembly. Lineage: Eukaryota; Metazoa; Arthropoda; Insecta; Hemiptera; Aphididae.
AAAACCACAAAAUCUACAUAGAUUUGAUGAUUUGCGUUCAGGUAAAAGUCAAAAAAAAUUAUACCCGAAACAACGCUGUGAUUUUCACGAUUCCAUUAAAAUCUAAACUUUCAAUGAGUAAUAAUGAUAAUAAUAAAUCUGUUAACUUCGUAAAAUUUUCUGGUUUUUCAAAUUUUUCCCCCAAUUUUCCCAGCUAUUUAUAAAACUAAGUUAAAAAGACCGACAUUCUUAUACGAAAAUUAGAGAUAACAUGAUUUUUGAAUUGACAUCUUUUACUAUUAGUUACUUUCU